GUGUAGAGAUACAUAAAGAGUAUAGAGAAAUCAGAGGAAAAUGAACCUCUUAUCUUUCUUACCUAGGCCUGUUUACAGAAGAAAGUGAUGAGAGAAUAUUUCAUAAUAUAUUCCUUACCAUAUUCUUUAAGUAAGGAUACAUUCUUUAAAUAGGGGAAUAUUCUUUUGGCUAUUUAUUUAAUAUUGUAUUAAAAGGACUAGUGCCCUACCAAUCUCACAGUGGGAACCUAUGUAACCAUGAUUUUGUGUAGUGUUUGUCCUCACUUCUGGGUUUAUCACAGGUGUGGCGCUGCUUUCUGUUA
Molecule: unclassified non-coding RNA, 302 nt
Filed under: Hevea brasiliensis (rubber tree)
Lineage: Eukaryota; Viridiplantae; Streptophyta; Magnoliopsida; Malpighiales; Euphorbiaceae
Source: RNAcentral